Molecule: long non-coding RNA, 501 nt
Organism: Haliotis rufescens (red abalone)
Lineage: Eukaryota; Metazoa; Mollusca; Gastropoda; Lepetellida; Haliotidae
Exons: 3
Source: RefSeq, a predicted model, not a curated record
UCAUAUGUACUAGUAUAUAAAGGUUAACACAUUGUUGGAGAAACAUCAUCAUCACUUCGGUCCUACACUGAACAUCCCGUGCAGCAAAGCCGAAUACGCCGUUAAAACCUCUUCCACAAUGCAACUGAAACACGUCUUCCUUCUCCUUGUCGUCGCUGUUGCUGCCGCUAGUGCAUAUAGAACGGUUGGUUCUAGGAACAGAUAUCCAUAUGGUCGCUAUGGUUAUGGCUAUGAGAUUGAGUUCCCUGACUUCCCCGACUUCCCCGACUUCGAGUUCCCCCUGUACAUGCUGGGACGAGGUGGUCGACGUGGAGGACGUGGAGGACGCAGGUCACAAAACACUUACAACACAUUCGCCAGACUCGCUACACUGGAUGCUUUAGACUUAAUCUAAGAAAAAACUACGGACUCUACACCGGCACCAGUACUCGUGCAGAAGAAUCUAUUUAUAAUUUAACUUAUUUGAUAUUUAUUUGUCCAUUAAAGAAUAUUCAAAGAAAA